RNAcentral lists this long non-coding RNA (5059 nucleotides) under Gallus gallus (chicken). RNAcentral describes it as "lncRNA (ENSGALG00010005842.1)". The record is from RNAcentral. Lineage: Eukaryota; Metazoa; Chordata; Aves; Galliformes; Phasianidae.
AUUUCAAGUGCUUCAUUGAAUAACGUAUUUCAAAUGAAAAGAUUAAUUACAUAUCAGUACACGUGUCUAUUUCAUUUAGUCAGAAGACUUCUACAGUGUUAUUCAAAGCCACUUUCACAGAUUUGCAUCUAAGCGCCAUUGCUGAGAGUUCUCUCCCUCCCCCAAUCCUCAGCAAAAAUACAUCAUGUUGGCUUUGUUAAUGGUGAAAUAUUUAGUACACUUAACCUCAGUUUCUUUUAGUGUUUUGAUGACUGCUGCCCUGCUUUCUUGCCAUGAUGAAGUGCUGGGGCUGGAGCUCCUUGUCAGAGGACUUUGCAAUAUGAAGUGAGCAGGUGCAGCCCACAGGGGCUGUGUAACCAAGGUGCUGCCAUCUGGUCUAGGGCAGAAACCUGCUGAACCCAGUAUCCUGGUUUCAAAGCAAGGAGAAGUUGCAGCGAGUUUUAUACUGAGCAUGUGAGAAAUAGGAGGGCUGUUCCCAAAGUAAUGCCUCCUGUUUUGUAAUGUUGGCACAUGACAUCAGAGGCGGAUGUUGGUGGUAUGGCAGUAGAGGCUGAACCUUCCCAUCGACAUCCUGUUACCUGUUGUUGCCAUGUGACAGAUGGCAGCAGAGGGGCAGUCUGACAGAAUGGCAUCUGACACUGAAAUGUGUAUGAAGCAAUGGAGUGUCACUGAGUUCCUUCGUGUGGAAAAAAAAACGGUACCCACUGACAUUCAUCAUAGAAACACAGAAUCAUAAAGUUGGAAAAGACUUAAGAUGAUCUUGAUCUGAACCUGGGGGAGGUUCAAGCUGGAUAUCAGGAACAAAAUUCUUCUCCAAAAAUGUGGUGAGGCAUUGCAACAGGCUGCCCAGGGAGGUGGUGGAGUCACCAUCCCUGGAGAUGUUCAGGGAAAGGAAAUGUGGCACUGAGGGACGUGGUCAGUGGGCACGGUGGGGAUGGGCUGAUGCUUAGACUAGAUAGAUGAUCUUAGAGGUCUUUUCCAGUGUUAGUGAUUCCAUGAUUCUAUGUUUCUAUGAUUCUGUGUUUCCCUAUUCUGGCAAGGAGAGCAGUGGCACAGUGUGAUGGGUAACACGGGGUUUUAUGGCCAAGUGAAAUAAUGGAUGUUGGAGUGGAGGUUACAGUGUAAACAUGCACUCAGAUACCAGAGUAAUGAACAUAGCAUAAAUAUUUAGAUGUGUUCCUACAUCUAAUUCUUGGCCUCAUAAUUCUCGUGUCAAAUAGUUUAUAAAAGGCAAAACUGUAUUUCAGUUACAGGUUCGGCUUCAUAAUUCUUAAGGUUAAUUAAGGCAGCCAAAUGUGCUUCAUGCCUGUCUGCUGUGGCUGUGUAGCUGUACAGAGUUGUGUAUCAUUAAAGGCUUUUCCUAUCAGUGACUGUAACAACAGUGACUAUCAGCACAUAUGUAUCUUAGUGUUUAGCCUAGGUGACAAGCAGCAGCAAUGUGCACUGUCCCUAUGUCUCAGAUAAACAUAAUGUCACUUGUGUGUAUGCAGCAAGUAAAGGAAGAGUUAAUGACGGCUUUAGAUCCUGAUACAUGAUGUGAACACAACUGGAACACAGGUAGCACAGAAACAGUGUGUGCCCCGAUGCCAACCUGUGCCUACUCCUCCCUCCUUCAGCUGCCCCUUGCUGUGCUCUCUGGGGACAGUGAAUAUCUCCCAGGCUGGGGCUGGCAGGGAGCAGGAAUAUCUCUGGUAGGGCUGCAUGGACAGGCCAGCAUCACACCACAGGGCAUCUCCUGGGGCCUGAGGCUGGGCUGCUCCUGAUGUCUCAGUGCCUCCUACUUGGGAUUAGAUGAGUGCCAGUGUUUUUAAGGAUGGCAAGGAGCCUUAUCGAGCCUCUACAUCUGCCCCAGAUGCUUUACAUUCCAGUGAUGUGCCACAGAUGUGCUGAACCCUACAGCACAAAGACUACAGCAUCUCACUGUCCCCAGGGCCAGCAGUUGCUGGUAGGCUCCAUCCCAGACACAGUGGACAGGAGCAGCGUCGUUGCCAAAGAUGUCCCAUGGAGUCAAUAGCAGGUGACACAGCCCUGCCCCUCACCUGUGUCAGCUGGACCACGCGUUGGGUGCCUCCUGUGCAGGGAACAGCAAAGUUCAGGCAAACAGAAGGGAGAGGAGGAGUGUUUUCCAGCCUGGCAGCUCUGAGAGUGCAUUGAGAGUCCAUCGUUGGGUUUCAGCUUGAGUUGCUCUGCAGUGGGGCGUGCCCUGGGGAGCAACCUGCUCCCAAAGGACUCAAUAAUUCAGCAUAUCAUCCUCCCAAGUGCUGGUGUCUCUCACCCCAGUGUUUCACCACUUCAUCGCUGCAUCAACGCAAUUCAUGCCCCAUCACUCUAUCUCCCAUUUCUUGGUGUUGCGCCCUUUUGGGGCUUCUUUCUCUUUAAGAGGAAACUCGGCGGAAGCCGAGCUAUUCAAUAUUGUUUCGUAUUAUUUGGUUGUGAAACAAUUUAAUUUGUUUAUGGCUCUAAAGGUCAGAUUUGACUGUUACCCAAAUUUCUGAAGAAUAAAGAAUGAAUCAGGCUGAAGGGGACUUUGUGGCAUGAUAAAACGGAGAAAGAGAAGGGGGCUAGUGAGAAUAUUUAACUGGAACAGCAAGGCAAACUUACCUUCAGCUCAGGUUUAAAAGCCUAGUCAAUCAUUAGACAUUUUUUAUUAUUUACCUGGUACAAAAUCCCCCCAGGAGAAGAAGUAGAAAAACUCACAGGCCACAUUCUUGCAAAUUUUAGUAGCUUGCCCAACAUUUUUUUUUUUUUUUUUCUUUUUCUUUUCUGUGAUUCAGAACAAUUUGAGUGGUACAGAUCACAUAGGUGCAUUCACAGAUCAGAAACAAGGAGGAAGCGCACGGUGGUUGCGGAUCCAAGCAGGGGAUGUUUGUAACAGUGAUGAGAGCAGGGCCAGCCCGGGACUUUGAGAAGGAAGGUGAUUCUCACACAGUGAGCAGAAGACAAAGGUUGCAUUUACACCUGGCCAGAGGUUUAAUCAUCUACCAUUUCCAAACAUUGCAGGCUCACAGUCUGUUGUGUCUGAGAUCAUAAAACAUAUCACAAACUGGAGACAAGAAAGCUGGGGCUUGAUUGACCAGAGCUUAUCUUUUCUUUUUCCUACUUCUUAUUUUUCACUCAAUUUUCUGAUUAAAAAAAAAAAGAAAGAAAGAAAGAAAGAAAGAAAGAAAGAAAGAAAGAAAGAAAGAAAGAAAGAAAGAAAGAAAGAAAAAAAAGGAAAAGAAAAAAAGAACAAGAGAGAGAAAAAAAAGCAUUUUCAAAAGGACUUGUGAUCCCUAAAUGCUUACCUGAUACAGCAGAAAACACGAUGCAAAGUAAUUCUGAAAACCAGGGAGGAUUUCUAUUCCUCUCUGCCUCCCCACUCCAGGUGCUGGGGAGCCCACCUGGCUGCCCAAAGCUCCAUCCCAGGUUUUCAGGGAGAAGAGAAACUGAGGAAAAGUGACCAAAAGGUGGAGAGAAAUAUUCAAAGAGGAAUGGGUAGAAGCCUCUCUCAUGGAUUAGUUUUCCAGGUCCUAACAUAACAACAUCCAACACUGAACCAUCUGAACCUGAAUCUGUAGGCAGCUUUCGUCUUUUUUUUGGUGUGUGGAUGUUUGAAUUAUGGCAAUGUUUUAAGGAGAAUCUGGAUGUGAUGGGAGGGGUUUUUUUUGUUUUUUUUUUUUGAAACGUUUGCAGCAUUUUUGCACUUCUUGUAUGCAGUUGGUUUCUUCUGAUCUCGUAGCCCAGCACUGCCAGUGAGGCUGGCAGGUCUGUUGGGCAAGACCAGUGACUCCCAUGGCAAAGAGAAGCCAUUGCUGUUUCCUUCUCCUGAUGGCCUCUGCAGGGUCAUUGCCCUUAGCUGAGCAACUGCAGCCAGGCUGUGGGCAGGAGCGGGGACUUAAAGCACAUGGGGUUUCCCACUGAUAGUUGUGAUGGGCUGUAGGAGUGUGGAAUGACCAGGGCAUGGCCACAGCUGUCAUCCCUCCUGAGGGCUGGGCCUGCGGUGUUCAGGAGGGACCUGGAAGAGGGGAUGUUCCUUUGCACCUCAUUUGGGUGCUUCAGUGCUGAUUCAUCAAAGCACUUAGCGCCAGGAGGAGGAACCCGCCCUGUUGGGAUGAAGGUUUGCACUGCUGACUUCAAAGGGGGCCCGAUUUAACCCUUUAACUUCAGUGGGGUUUGGGACCCUGUUUGAAGGUAAGCACAUGAUACUGCAGGGUUGGAAGGGGACAUAAAUACCUUGAAGGUCUUGAGUGUCAUCAUCAUGGUGCCUUUGUGUGUGUUCUGCCUGCCAGCUCUGUAACCACUUCAGAAAACGGGGUGGGAGCAAUGGGAGCUUCCCCAAGACAAGCUCAUCAAUCAAAGCAGGAUGGAGGGCCAUCUGCCCCUGGCAUGGCCAGGUGCCCUCAGGGUGUCCCUUGCCUUCCUGGGGCUGCCCUCGACCUGAUAAGGAGAGUGACAUCUUUGAUGUCACCUGGGGCAGCAGUCACACACAAUUGCAUAAUCAAGGUCGCAGGAAAAUUACACAAAACUUUGCCCACAUCUAUUGGAAAAAUCUGAAGCACUUGCAAAAAGAAAAAAAAAAAAAAAAGAAGAAGAAAAAGAAAAAGAAAAACCCUAACCCCAAACUCCUAUCCAUGCCACCACGCUGGAUGGAACGCUGCAGUGCUGAGCUUUCCCUUUACCAUACCCUAGAAGUUUUAAUGAAAAAAUGUAAUAUGGGCAUAAAGGCAAUUAAAAGUUCUCACUGACAGCCACAUGAACUCAGCUCUGUGGUUUUCCCUCUCUCCCCUUCAGAUAAAGUUUCAAUUACACCAUGAUAAUGUGUGAAUAUAAGACGCAAUCAUCUCAUACUUCGCAUUGCUGAGUGCUGUCUGUCUGAGGAUUUUAAGGGGUGAAUUGGGUUUCACGUGCCCUCAGGAGCUACCGAGUAUUUGCGAGGCUGCUUGCAAAAAAUGAAAUAGCUACUUUGAGAAUUUGUACAUGAAAAUAAUGAGAAGAAUUUUCGGAAUGUGUCUUGGAGAAAUUUCUGCUCUUCCGUCUUCCCCAUGUUGAUAAAAUUUACAUUGAAAAUCACUUCCCCCCU